AUUGAACGCUGGCGGCAUGCCUUACACAUGCAAGUCGAACGGCAGCACGGGGGCAACCCUGGUGGCGAGUGGCGAACGGGUGAGUAAUACAUCGGAACGUGCCCAGUAGUGGGGGAGUAGCCCGGCGAAAGCCGGAUUAAUACCGCAUACGACCUACGGGUGAAAGUGGGGGAUCGCAAGACCUCGCGCUAUCGGAGCGGCCGAUGUCA
This 209-nucleotide ribosomal RNA is filed under the name uncultured bacterium. RNAcentral's name for it is "partial 16S ribosomal RNA". It matches the Rfam family "Bacterial small subunit ribosomal RNA", at positions 30 to 238 of the family's 1533-position model. The record is from RNAcentral.